RNAcentral lists this transfer-messenger RNA (356 nucleotides) under Planctomycetota bacterium. It matches the Rfam family "transfer-messenger RNA". Rfam says of the family: Bacterial tmRNA, also known as 10Sa RNA or SsrA, is named for its dual tRNA and mRNA-like properties. Its role is to liberate the mRNA from a stalled ribosome. Lineage: Bacteria; Pseudomonadati; Planctomycetota. The record is from RNAcentral.
GGGGGCGCACCGGUCUCGACCGGUUUGCGUGCGCUUCAGGUCGCGUGUCGGGGAUCUCGAGUCAUCCCGUAAAAUCCUCUCGGGAAACGGCAUAACCUGCCAAUGAUUACGCUCUCGCUGCCUAAGAACUAGGCCAGCCGUCCUCCGCGGAGCGCCUGCGGCCGCGGUACGACGCCACCAGCAGGCUGGCCGGGUCGGCUCACCGUCGAGCACGCCCCGGCGAGACAGAUCGACGGCGGUUUUCGGGGAGCCUGCCCAUGGGCGCCCCGGAGACGGCACAAACCAAGGGCUACACACGUAGACGCCGGUCGCGGAUGGAUUCCGGGACGCGGGUUCGACUCCCGCCGCCUCCACCA